This 218-nucleotide long non-coding RNA is filed under the name Elaeis guineensis (African oil palm). RNAcentral's name for it is "long non-coding RNA (EGUI_LNC059612)". The record is from RNAcentral. Lineage: Eukaryota; Viridiplantae; Streptophyta; Magnoliopsida; Arecales; Arecaceae.
GCUUAGGUUGAUCGAGCCAUAUUCAGAUCUGGACAUUCGUUUGUUGGAUGCACUUGAUACAGUCAUGUUAAUGGUUGAACCUAACCAGUAUUUUCAGUGGAGGUGCCACACACCUGCUAAAGAGAUGCCUGAGAUAUAAUCUAAUUGCUGGAAGUUGUUUGAAGAAAUAAUUAUCUAUGAACCUACCCAUAGAUGCAUUAGGGUUGGCUGAGCCACAC